AGAGUUUGAUCCUGGCCCAGAUUGAACGCUGGCGGCAUGCCUUACACAUGCAAGUCGAACGGCAGCACGAGAGCUUGCUCUUGGUGGCGAGUGGCGAACGGGUGAGUAAUAUAUCGGAACGUACCCUAGAGUGGGGGAUAACGUAGCGAAAGUUACGCUAAUACCGCAUACGAUCUACGGAUGAAAGUGGGGGAUCGCAAGACCUCAUGCUCAUGGAGCGGCCGAUAUCUGAUUAGCUAGUUGGUGGGGUAAAAGCUCACCAAGGCGACGAUCAGUAGCUGGUCUGAGAGGACGACCAGCCACACUGGAACUGAGACACGGUCCAGACUCCUACGGGAGGCGGCAGUGGGGAAUUUUGGACAAUGGGCGCAAGCCUGAUCCAGCAAUGCCGCGUGAGUGAAGAAGGCCUUCGGGUUGUAAAGCUCUUUUGUCAGGGAAGAAACGGUGGACUCUAAUACAGAUCACUAAUGACGGUACCUGAAGAAUAAGCACCGGCUAACUACGUGCCAGCAGCCGCGGUAAUACGUAGGGUGCAAGCGUUAAUCGGAAUUACUGGGCGUAAAGCGUGCGCAGGCGGUUGUGCAAGACAGAUGUGAAAUCCCCGGGCUCAACCUGGGAAUUGCAUUUGUGACUGCACGGCUAGAGUGUGUCAGAGGGGGGUAGAAUUCCACGUGUAGCAGUGAAAUGCGUAGAGAUGUGGAGGAAUACCGAUGGCGAAGGCAGCCCCCUGGGAUAACACUGACGCUCAUGCACGAAAGCGUGGGGAGCAAACAGGAUUAGAUACCCUGGUAGUCCACGCCCUAAACGAUGUCUACUAGUUGUCGGGUCUUAAUUGACUUGGUAACGCAGCUAACGCGUGAAGUAGACCGCCUGGGGAGUACGGUCGCAAGAUUAAAACUCAAAGGAAUUGACGGGGACCCGCACAAGCGGUGGAUGAUGUGGAUUAAUUCGAUGCAACGCGAAAAACCUUACCUACCCUUGACAUGUCUGGAAUCCUUGAGAGAUCAGGGAGUGCUCGAAAGAGAAUCAGAACACAGGUGCUGCAUGGCUGUCGUCAGCUCGUGUCGUGAGAUGUUGGGUUAAGUCCCGCAACGAGCGCAACCCUUGUCAUUAGUUGCUACGAAAGGGCACUCUAAUGAGACUGCCGGUGACAAACCGGAGGAAGGUGGGGAUGACGUCAAGUCCUCAUGGCCCUUAUGGGUAGGGCUUCACACGUCAUACAAUGGUACAUACAGAGGGCCGCCAACCCGCGAGGGGGAGCUAAUCCCAGAAAGUGUAUCGUAGUCCGGAUUGUAGUCUGCAACUCGACUACAUGAAGUUGGAAUCGCUAGUAAUCGCGGAUCAGCAUGUCGCGGUGAAUACGUUCCCGGGUCUUGUACACACCGCCCGUCACACCAUGGGAGCGGGUUUCACCAGAAGUGGGUAGCCUAACCGCAAGGAGGGCGCUCACCACGGUGGGAUUCGUGACUGGGGUGAAGUCGUAACAAGGUA
Molecule: ribosomal RNA, 1491 nt
Filed under: metagenome
Description: bacterial SSU rRNA
Rfam family: Bacterial small subunit ribosomal RNA
Source: RNAcentral